RNAcentral lists this transfer RNA (73 nucleotides) under Salmo salar (Atlantic salmon). It matches the Rfam family "tRNA". Rfam says of the family: Transfer RNA (tRNA) molecules are approximately 80 nucleotides in length. Their secondary structure includes four short double-helical elements and three loops (D, anti-codon, and T loops). Further hydrogen bonds mediate the characteristic L-shaped molecular structure. tRNAs have two regions of fundamental functional importance: the anti-codon, which is responsible for specific mRNA codon recognition, and the 3' end, to which the tRNAs corresponding amino acid is attached (by aminoacyl-tRNA synthetases). tRNAs cope with the degeneracy of the genetic code in two manners: having more than one tRNA (with a specific anti-codon) for a particular amino acid; and 'wobble' base-pairing, i.e. permitting non-standard base-pairing at the 3rd anti-codon position. The record is from Rfam by way of RNAcentral. Lineage: Eukaryota; Metazoa; Chordata; Actinopteri; Salmoniformes; Salmonidae.
GUCUGUGUAGCUCAGUUGGUAGAGCAUGGUGUUUGCAAUGCCAGGGUUGUGGGUUCAAUUCCCACGGGGGACC